GGGGAACUGAGGUCAGGACAUAUUGGACCUGGGAAGGGGAGAGGGGAACUGAGGUCAGGACAUAUUGGACCUGGGAAGGGGAGAGGGGAACUGAGGUCAGGACAUAUUGGACCUGGGAAGGGGAGAGUGGGGGAGCUGAGUUUUCCCUCCAUCUUGCUGCUGCUUCACUGGAUGUAAAGGGAGAGACACGCCUGCCUGUCGGUCUGAGAGAACAGACUUUACCGCCCAGAGUAGGAAUGCUGACUGACAGACAUUAUGAUUUGUGGUCCAGGUGUACAUGACCGUGUUGUGUUGGGGUUGAGUAGCGGUUUAGUUGUGUGGACAUUUGUCCCGUAUAGCCCUGAUGCUGCUCCACUCAUGAAAUCAGAAUUACUCACAGAAUCAGUUAUGGCUGGAAUUCAAUCUGAUCGCGGGUUAUAGGCACUGCAGCUCUGAAAUGUAAUGUUCUCAUUCGCGGAGAUCCCUUUCAUGAUAAACGCUGCAUAUGUCUGCUCAAUCGGAAGUUGCCUUUAAAAAACCUCAAUGCCUAUAACCCACAAUACGAUAGAAUUCAGCCUUAGUCUGUGUCAGACCAGGAGGAAGUUUGCCCAUACAGAUACAUACAUACAGAUACAUACAGACAGAUACAUACAUACAGAUACAUACAGACAGAUACAUAUAUACAGAUACAUACAUACAGAUACAUACAUACAGAUACAUACAGACAGAUACAUAUAUACAGAUACAUAUAUACAGAUACAUACAUACAGAUACAUAUAUACAGAUAGAUACAUACAGACAGAUAGAUAUAUACAGAUACAUACAUACAGAUAGAUACAUACAGAUAGAUACAUACAUACAGAUACAUAUAUACAGAUACAUACAGACAGAUACAUAUAUACAGAUACAUACAUACAGAUACAUACAUACAGAUACAUACAUACAGAUACAUAUAUACAGAUACAUACAUACAGAUACAUACAUACAGAUACAUACAGACAGAUACAUACAUACAGAUACAUACAUACAGAUACAUAUAUACAGAUACAUAUAUACAGAUACAUACAGACAGAUACAUAUAUACAGAUACAUACAUACAGACAGAUACAUACAGACAGAUACAUAUAUACAGAUACAUACAUACAGAUACAUGUAUACAGAUAGAUACAUACAGACAGAUAGAUAUAUACAGAUACAUACAUACAGAUAGAUACAUACAGAUAGAUACAUACAGAUAGAUACAUACAUACAGAUACAUAUAUACAGAUACAUACAGACAGAUACAUACAUACAGAUACAUACAUACAGAUACAUACAUACAGAUAGAUACAUACAGAUACAUAUAUACAGAUAGAUACAUAUAUACAGAUACAUACAUACAGAUACAUACAUACAGAUAGAUACAUACAGAUACAUACAUACAGAUACAUACAUACAGACAGAUACAUACAUACAGAUACAUAUAUACAGAUACAUACAGACAGAUACAUAUAUACAGAUACAUACAUACAGAUACAUACAUACAGAUACAUACAGACAGAUACAUAUAUACAGAUAGAUACAUAUAUACAGAUACAUACAUACAGAUACAUAUAUACAGAUAGAUACAUACAGACAGAUACAUAUAUACAGAUACAUACAUACAGAUACAUACAUACAGAUACAUACAUACAGAUAGAUACAUACAGACACAUACAUACAUACAGAUAGAUACAUACAGAUACAUAUAUACAGAUACAUACAUACAGAUAGAUACAUACAGAUAGAUACAUACAGACAGAUACAUACAGACAGAUACAUACAGUACAUACAGAUACAUACAGACAGAUACAUACAGUACAUACAGAUACAUACAGACAGAUACAUACAGACAGAUGCGUACAUACAGACAGAUAGAGUACAUACAGAUACAUAAAGACAGAUACAUACAGACAGAUACAGUACAUACAGAUGCAUACAUACAGAUACAUACAGACAGAUACAUACAUACAGAUACAUACUUACAGAUACAUACAGUACAUACAGAUACAUAGAUACAUACAGUACAUACAGAUACAUACAGACAGAUACAUACAGUACAUACAGAUGUAUACAUUCAGAUGUUUACAGACAGAUACAUACAGACAGAUACAUACAUACAUAUACAUACUUACAGAUACAUACAGUACAUACAUAUACAUACAUACAGACAGAUACAUACAAUACAUACAGACAGAUACAGUACAUACAGAUGCAUACAUACAGAUACAUACAGACAGAUACAUACAAUACAUACAGACAGGUACAUACAGAUACAUACAGACAGAUACAUACAGUACAUACAGAUACAUACAGACAGAUGCAUACAUACAGAUACAUACAGACAGAUACAGUACAUACAGACGCAUACAUACAGAUACAUAAAGACAGAUACAUACAGACAGAUACAGUACAUACAGAUGUAUACAUACAGAUACAUACAGACAGAUACAUACAUACAGAUACAUACUUACAGAUACAUACAGUACAUACAGACAGAUACAUACAGACAGAUACAUACAGUACAUACAGAUGUAUACAUACAGAUGUUUACAGACAGAUACAUAGAGACAGAUACAGUACAUACAGACGCAUACGUAAAGAUAGAUACAUACAUACAGAUACAUACAGACAGAUACAUACAGACAGACAGAUACAGUACAUACAGAUACAUACAGACAGAUACAUACAGACAGGGCUGGGUGGAGCAGGGAUGCUAUGCAAGAUGACUUAAGCGCACACACCACAUACCACACCACAUACCACACCACACGCCACAUACCACGCCACAUACCACACCACACACCACACCACAUAAAAUACCACACCACACCACACACCACACCACAUACCAGACCACAUACCACGCCACACCACACCACAUACCACACCACAUAAAAUACCACAUACCACACCACAUACAAUACCACACCACAUACCACAUACCAUACCACACCACAUACCACAUACCAUACCACACCACAUACCAUCACACCACAUACCACACCACAUACCACACACCAUACCACAUCACAUACCACACCACAUACCACGCCACACCACAUACCACAUACCACACCACAUAAAAUACCACAUACCACACCACAUACAAUACCACACCACAUACCACACCACAUACCACACCACAUACCACGCCACACCACAUACCACAUACCACACCACAUAAAAUACCACACCACAUACAAUACCACACCACAUACCACAUACCACACCACAUACCACACCACAUACAAUACCACACCACAUACCACAUACCACACCACAUACCACAUACCACACCACAUAACAUACCACAUAACAUACCACACCACACCACAUACCACAGCACAUACCACGCCACACCACACCACACACCACGUACCACACCACAUACCACGCCACACCACACCACAUAAAAUACCACAUACCACACCACAUACAAUACCACACCACAUACCACAUACCAUACCACACCAUACCACACCACAUACCACACCACAUACAAUACCACACCACAUACCACAUCACAUACCACAUCACAUACCACACCACAUACCACACCACACCACAUACCAUACCACACCACAUACCACACCACAUACCAUACCACACCAUACCACACUACAUACCACACCACACCACAUACCAUACCACACCACAUACCAUACCACACAACAUACCACACCACAUACCACAUACCAUACCACACCACAUACCACACCACAUACCACACCACACCACAUACCACACAAUAUACCACCGUCCCUACACCUUACCACAAACAACAAAGCAUACACACACACACAUCACUGUACCUACACAUUACCACACAACACACACACAAGCAUACACACACACACAUCACACCACACACACCGCACCAUAUGCCACACAGCGUACCAUACACUACACACAGUCUCCCCAGGUCACUGCCAGGGCACAGGGACUGACCUAUGUGUGGCUACCAUGUACAACCACCAUAAGCCAAAGCUUUCUAUAGUAACAUGCUAUUCAUUAUAGAAACAUAGAUCUGUAAAGACUUAUACACUGAAGAAGACUAUACUGCGUAUGAAUGUAUGUUAAAAUGAAAUAUAUGCUGUGUCAAAGAUUAUACUCUUGUUUGUCAUAUUUAUUUUGUACAUGUCUCUUUACGACGUAAGAAAACAACUCAGGGUUGCAUGUUCAUCUCAUGCUUUCUGUGUGUUUCUGUGUGUUUCUGUGUGUUUCUGUGUGUUUCUGUGUUUCUGUGUGUUUCUGUGUGUUUCUGUGUGUUUGUUUAUGUGUGGGUGAUGGCUUGAUAUCACUCAUUAAAACAACCAUUAUUGCAGCUGACUGGGUACCAACGUAAAAUGUUUUAAAUAUCCUGUCAAUAUCCUGAGUCCAGCUAGUUGUGCCCUGAAGCCAAAUCCAGUCCUGAUUCCUUCCAGCUUAUUUAAUAAUGGGGGCGUGCUACCAAUUCGGUGCCUUUUGAGAAGUGUA
Molecule: long non-coding RNA, 4476 nt
Filed under: Salmo salar (Atlantic salmon)
Lineage: Eukaryota; Metazoa; Chordata; Actinopteri; Salmoniformes; Salmonidae
Description: lncRNA (ENSSSAG00000107885.1)
Source: RNAcentral